AAAAUUAAAGGGCUGCAGUAUAUUGACUGUACAAAGGUAGCAUAAUCAUUAGUCUUUUAAUUGAAGACUUGUAUGAAAGAUUUGAUGAAAUAUAAACUGUCUCUAAUUUAAUAAUAAAAAUUAAUUUUUUAGUUAAAAAGCUAAAAUUUAUUUAAAAGACGAGAAGACCCUAUAGAGUUUUAUAAUAAUAGUAAUUAAAAUUAAAUAUAUAAUUAUAAAUUAAAAUUUUUAUUAUUAUUUUGUUGGGGUGACAGAAAAAUUAAUAAAACUUUUUUUAUAAUAUUACAUAAAUAAGUGAAUUAAUGAUCCAUUUAUAAUGAUUAAAAGAAAAAAUUACCUUAGGGAUAACAGCGUAAUUUUUUUUUUUAGUACAAAUAAAAAAAAAAGGUUGCGACCUCGAUGUUGGAUUAAGAUAAAAAUUAAAUGCAAAAGUUUAAAAUUUU
RNAcentral lists this ribosomal RNA (443 nucleotides) under Argynnis hyperbius (Indian fritillary). RNAcentral describes it as "partial 16S ribosomal RNA". The record is from RNAcentral. Lineage: Eukaryota; Metazoa; Arthropoda; Insecta; Lepidoptera; Nymphalidae.